This 400-nucleotide ribosomal RNA is filed under the name uncultured bacterium. Its description in RNAcentral is "bacterial SSU rRNA". It matches the Rfam family "Bacterial small subunit ribosomal RNA", at positions 358 to 775 of the family's 1533-position model. The record is from RNAcentral.
GGAAUAUUGCACAAUGGGGGAAACCCUGAUGCAGCGACGCCGCGUGAGUGAAGAAGCGCCUCGGCGCGUAAAGCUCUGUCAGCAGGAACGAUAAUGACGGUACCUGAAGAAGAAGCCCCGGCUAACUACGUGCCAGCAGCCGCGGUAAUACGUAGGGGGCAAGCGUUAUCCGGAUUUACUGGGUGUAAAGGGAGCGUAGGCGGUUUAGCAAGUCAGAAGUGAAAGCCCGGGGCUCAACUCCGGGACUGCUUUUGAAACUGUUGAACUAGAUUGCAGGAGAGGUAAGUGGAAUUCCUAGUGUAGCGGUGAAAUGCGUAGAUAUUAGGAGGAACACCAGUGGCGAAGGCGGCUUACUGGACUGUAAAUGACGCUGAGGCUCGAAAGCGUGGGGAGCAAACAG